GAUGAACGCUGGCGGCGUGCCUAAUACAUGCAAGUCGAGCGAACGGACGAGAAGCUUGCUUCUCUGAUGUUAGCGGCGGACGGGUGAGUAACACGUGGAUAACCUACCUAUAAGACUGGGAUAACUUCGGGAAACCGUAGCUAAUACCGGAUAAUAUUUUGAACCGCAUGGUUCAAAAGUGAAAGACGGUUUUGCUGUCACUUAUAGAUGGAUCCGCCCUGCAUUAGCUAGUUGGUAAGGUAACGGCUUACCAAGGCAACGAUGCAUAGCCGACCUGAGAGGGUGAUCGGCCACACUGGAACUGAGACACGGUCCAGACUCCUACGGGAGGCAGCAGUAGGGAAUCUUCCGCAAUGGGCGAAAGCCUGACGGAGCAACGCCGCGUGAGUGAUGAAGGUCUUCGGAUCGUAAAACUCUGUUAUUAGGGAAGAACAUAUGUGUAAGUAACUGUGCACAUCUUGACGGUACCUAAUCAGAAAGCCACGGCUAACUACGUG
RNAcentral lists this ribosomal RNA (497 nucleotides) under uncultured bacterium. RNAcentral describes it as "partial 16S ribosomal RNA". It matches the Rfam family "Bacterial small subunit ribosomal RNA", at positions 28 to 507 of the family's 1533-position model. The record is from RNAcentral.